RNAcentral lists this ribosomal RNA (253 nucleotides) under uncultured bacterium. RNAcentral's name for it is "partial 16S ribosomal RNA". It matches the Rfam family "Bacterial small subunit ribosomal RNA", at positions 524 to 776 of the family's 1533-position model. The record is from RNAcentral.
UACGAAGGGGGCUAGCGUUGCUCGGAAUUACUGGGCGUAAAGGGCGCGUAGGCGGAUAGUUUAGUCAGAGGUGAAAGCCCAGGGCUCAACCUUGGAAUUGCCUUUGAUACUGGCUAUCUUGAGUUCGGGAGAGGUGAGUGGAAUGCCGAGUGUAGAGGUGAAAUUCGUAGAUAUUGGGAAGAACACCGGUGGCGAAGGCGGCGACCUGGUCCUUUACUGACGCUGAGGCGCGAAAGCGUGGGGAGCAAACAGG